GACGAACGCUGGCGGCGUGCUUAACACAUGCAAGUCGAACGGAAAGGCCCUGCUUUUGUGGGGUGCUCGAGUGGCGAACGGGUGAGUAACACGUGAGUAACCUGCCCUUGACUUUGGGAUAACUUCAGGAAACUGGGGCUAAUACCGGAUAGGAGCUCCUGCUGCAUGGUGGGGGUUGGAAAGUUUCGGCGGUUGGGGAUGGACUCGCGGCUUAUGAGCUUGUUGGUGGGGUAGUGGCUUACCAAGGCUUUGACGGGUAGCCGGCCUGAGAGGGUGACCGGCCACAUUGGGACUGAGAUACGGCCCAGACUCCUACGGGAGGCAGCAGUGGGGAAUAUUGCACAAUGGGGGGAAGCCUGAUGCAGAAACGCCGCGUGCGGGAUGACGGCCUUCGGGUUGUAAACCGCUUUCGCCUGUGACGAAGCGUGAGUGACGGUAAUGGGUAAAGAAGCACCGGCUAACUACGUG
Molecule: ribosomal RNA, 468 nt
Filed under: uncultured bacterium
Lineage: Bacteria
Description: partial 16S ribosomal RNA
Rfam family: Bacterial small subunit ribosomal RNA
Source: RNAcentral